This 521-nucleotide ribosomal RNA is filed under the name uncultured microorganism. RNAcentral describes it as "bacterial SSU rRNA". It matches the Rfam family "Bacterial small subunit ribosomal RNA", at positions 9 to 511 of the family's 1533-position model. The record is from RNAcentral.
GAGUUUGAUCGUGGCUCAGGAUGAACGCUGGCGGCGUGCCUAAUACAUGCAAGUCGAGCGAACAGACGAGGAGCUUGCUCCUCUGACGUUAGCGGCGGACGGGUGAGUAACACGUGGAUAACCUACCUAUAAGACUGGGAUAACUUCGGGAAACCGGAGCUAAUACCGGAUAAUAUAUUGAACCGCAUGGUUCAAUAGUGAAAGACGGUUUUGCUGUCACUUAUAGAUGGAUCCGCGCCGCAUUAGCUAGUUGGUAAGGUAACGGCUUACCAAGGCAACGAUGCGUAGCCGACCUGAGAGGGUGAUCGGCCACACUGGAACUGAGACACGGUCCAGACUCCUACGGGAGGCAGCAGUAGGGAAUCUUCCGCAAUGGGCGAAAAGCCUGACGGAGCAACGCCGCGUGAGUGAUGAAGGUCUUCGGAUCGUAAAACUCUGUUAUUAGGGAAGAACAAAUGUGUAAGUAACUAUGCACGUCUUGACGGUACCUAAUCAGAAAGCCACGGCUAACUACGUGACAG